UGGGGAAUUUUGGACAAUGGGCGCAAGCCUGAUCCAGCCAUGCCGCGUGCGGGAAGAAGGCCUUCGGGUUGUAAACCGCUUUUGUCAGGGAAGAAACGGCUUUCGCUCAUAUCGAGAGCUAAUGACGGUACCUGAAGAAUAAGCACCGGCUAACUACGUGCCAGCAGCCGCGGUAAUACGUAGGGUGCAAGCGUUAAUCGGAAUUACAGGGCGUAAAGCGUGCGCAGGCGGCUUUGCAAGACAGAUGUGAAAUCCCCGGGCUCAACCUGGGAACUGCAUUUGUGACUGCUUGGCUAGAGUACGGUAGAGGGGGAUGGAAUUCCGCGUGUAGCAGUGAAAUGCGUAGAUAUGCGGAGGAACACCGAUGGCGAAGGCAAUCCCCUGGACCUGUACUGACGCCCAUGCACGAAAGCGUGGGGAGCAAACA
RNAcentral lists this ribosomal RNA (427 nucleotides) under uncultured bacterium. RNAcentral describes it as "bacterial SSU rRNA". It matches the Rfam family "Bacterial small subunit ribosomal RNA", at positions 355 to 774 of the family's 1533-position model. The record is from RNAcentral.